CCCAACUAUCCCUAUUAAUCAUUACGUCAAUCCUAGAAACCAACAAAAUAGGAUCGAACGUCCUAUUUCAUUAUUCCAUGCUAAUGUAUUCAAGCGUUAGCCUGCUUUAAACACUCUAAUUUUUUCAAAGUAACAGUCCAGUCUCCCCGCAACACCAAGUUAAUGGCAUUACGGUUCAUCAGGAAGGAGGAAUCAGUAAGACCAGUACGUACCAAUGGCACGACCAAUCUACUAACCCCGAAAUUCAACUACGAGCUUUUUAACUGCAACAACUUUAAUAUACGCUAUUGGAGCUGGAAUUACCGCGGCUGCUGGCACCAGACUUGCCCUCCAA
RNAcentral lists this unclassified non-coding RNA (334 nucleotides) under uncultured Glomerales. RNAcentral describes it as "sequence contains 18S rRNA gene". The record is from RNAcentral. Lineage: Eukaryota; Fungi; Glomeromycota; Glomeromycetes; Glomerales; Glomeraceae. RNAcentral also lists the same sequence under 1 other name.